RNAcentral lists this long non-coding RNA (8712 nucleotides) under Medicago truncatula (barrel medic). RNAcentral's name for it is "long non-coding RNA (MTRU_LNC004284)". The record is from RNAcentral. Lineage: Eukaryota; Viridiplantae; Streptophyta; Magnoliopsida; Fabales; Fabaceae.
GAUUGCUUUAGCUUAUGCUGAAGGUACUGAUGCAAUGAAAGUGACAUAGGAAUAAAUAAAACAAUAAAAAGAUCACAAAACACUUACUUUCUAAAAUAACACACUUGGAAACGUAAAAGUAAAAACACCAUCCAAAUUUUCUUAUAGAAUAGAAGUAUAAGGGACAAUUUUUGUUUCAUUAAACCUGCCGGAAAAAAAAAAAAAAAAAACUGAAAUUUUACCAAUUUUACUCUACAUAAUGUAUAGCUGCAAAAUUUAGUAUGAGAAUAGACCGGCAAUGACGACAUGGAUCACUUGGUCACUUUGGCACUCCAUGGUUUGUCUCAAAUACUUUUCAUGGCCACAUUUUUAGAACCCGAAUUUCGUAGCCCUGCAUCUUAAUUAAACGACAUACCAACUCAAUCUCAUUUGCUAAGAAAAUGAAGGAAAGAAAGUCAGCAUCAACAUUGAAUUGUACUCCCCAUGAUGACAUUAAGCCAACAUGAAAGGCUUCAACCUUCAAGAAAAAGAUAAUUAUUGAUUUUGUCCAUGGGAAGAUAGACAACCAAAAUGGGAGAUCAAAUUUUGUCACAAAAAUAUUGGAUGUUAUAAACGGAUAUAUUCACUAAGGUUCCUCAUAUUCAUUUAUCUGUCAAUACAACCGCACAGUGUGUGCAACACCGCUACCAUCGAAACAGAAUCUCGACUGCUGUAGCGAUACGAUCUGUCACUUAGAAUAUUCAACCUUUUGGUUUCUCAACUGCAUUCGCGUUCUGGGCAGUAGUUUCUAUCAACAUAUGAAGAAAAAGAGCAAGUUAACUAAUUAGAAGUAUUUGCAUUUGCAUUUCAUUUCUAACUGUAAUUUCAUUUGCAUCUAGUUAGUUAGAAUAGUGAUGAGCUGGCACUAAUGUGUAUAUAACUGAAUGUAAUGAACCUUUACAAGUCAAUGAAAAUCAGUUACAAGUUUUCUUCAUUUGAAGCUUUUUCUCUCUUAACCAUGGUGGUUUAUUCUUCUCUGAUGGUAUCAGAGCAAGUUCAAGCUUGCUCUGCUUCCGCAAUUGCUACUACUCUGUUUUCCUCUGUUUGAUUACGUGUUUCUUCCAUUAGAACACGAAUCAUUUUCUUCUUCUUCUUCUGGUUUUUUGUUGCAGUUUCUUCUUCGUUUCAAGUUUCAAUCUUGAUUCGUUUUCUUUCAAUUUGAUUUUUUUUUCAAUCAAUUUUGUUAGUUUUUGAGUUUUUUUUUGGUGAAUCAUGGUGAGAAACAACAAUAAUCAGAAUCAGGAUCAAGGUCUUGAUCCAUAUUUUGUGCAUCCAUCUGAAAAUUCUUCAACCGUUAGUGUUACACCGCAGUUGAAUGGCGAUAACUAUCAUGCUUGGUCUAUGAAGAUGCGAAGAGCUCUAGCUAUGAAGAACAAGUUCAAAUUUGUCGAUGGUACUAUCCCCAUUCCUGAUGAUGAUGAAUUGAAUCGAAGUGCUUGGGAAAGAUGCAAUAAUCUUGUUCAUACAUGGAUUAUCAACUCAAUUACACCUUCUAUUGCACAAAGUGUAGUAUUCAUAGAAAAUGCGAUAGAUAUGUGGAAUGAUUUGAAAGAUCGUUUUAUGAGAGGUGAUAGAAUUAGGGUUGCUCAAUUGCAUCAAGAAAUUGCUAAUUUGAAGCAAGGCAAUCAUAAAAUCACAGAUUACUUUACUGAACUGAGGGGUCUAUGGGAAGAAUUGGAGCAAUAUAGGCCAAUGCCUCAGUGUAACUGUCCUAUUACUUGUACUUGUGCUGCUAUGAGGUAUGCUAAAGAGUUUAGAUUGGAAGAUAGAACUAUACAGUUCUUAAUUGGAUUGAAUGAGGAAUAUCAAGGAGUGGCUUCUCAGGUUUUACUUAUGGAUCCAAUGCCACCAAUCAAUAGGGUUUUUUCAAUGGUUAUGCAACAGGAAAGGAAAAUGCAAUAUGGUGUUAUCAAUGUUCAGAAUACACCAUUAGAGGAUACUACAAGUAUUGUAAAUGCAGUGAAUGGUCAAAAACAGUUUGGCAGAGGUAGAGGAAAUGGGUCUUCUCAAGGAAGAGGAAGAGGUAAUGGAAGAUUUUGUACCUUUUGUGAAAGAACUAAUCACACAGUGGAAACUUGUUACAAGAAGCAUGGAUACCCUCCAAACUGGGGAAGAGGUGGAGGAAAUUCCUAUGCUAAUAUGAUUGAUGGAGAUGAUGUAGAGAGUAAAAUGCAGACUGCAUCAACUAGCAGGAAUGAAGAAAGUGCAGGGGUCACUCUUACUAAGGAUCAAUAUCAGAAUCUGAUGUCUCUAUUGGAAAAGAGUAACCUUGAGACAAAGUGUUCAGCAAAUGUUGUGAAAGGUAUCAAUUACUCUUCAUUUAUUGGAGGUAAUUCAUGUUUUGCUAAUUUUGAUGAUAAGCAUGCUGAUACUGGAUGGAUUAUAGAUACAGGAGCUACACAUCAUACAUGUUUUGAUUUGAAAUGGUUCAGUAAUUGUACUAAAAUUGAACCUAUGAGUGUAAAUUUACCAAAUGGAAAUACUACACUAGCACAUUGUAGAGGGCAGAUAAGAUUAUCACAGGAAUUGAGCAUAGAUAAUGUUCUCUAUUUGCCUCAAUUUGCUGUGAAUCUUAUUUCUGCUUCAAAGUUGAUUAAAGAGCAAAAUUGCAUUUUGCAUUUUGAAGCUAAUGAGUGUACAAUACAGGAAAAGAACAGUUUGAAGAAGAUUGGUUUAGCUGAAGAGAGACAUGGUUUAUACUACUUGAAGAUUGAUGAGAAGCACAAUCAAGUUUCAGUGUCUAAUGUGGCUGCUUUAGCAAAUUCAAAUAAAGAGCAUGUUCCAGAUGGAAUCUUGUGGCAUCUCAGACUUGGUCAUCUAUCAAAAGAUAGAAUGAUGUGUAUGAAUAAGCUGUAUAGCUAUAUUUCUACUAGUCCACACACUGCUUGUGAUGUAUGUCAGAUGUGUAGACAGAAAAUUUUACCCUUUCCUGUUAGUAAUAAGAAUGCUAAAGCUGCUUUUGAGCUUGUUCAUUUUGAUAUUUGGGGACCAUUUGGUACAGCUUCUGUCCAUGGUCACAAAUAUUUUCUUACUAUUUUAGAUGAUUGUACAAGGCAUAUUUGGGUUGUGAUGAUGAAUAAUAAAUCUGAAGCUUCUCAGAAAGUAAAGAGUUUUAUUUCUAUGGUUGAAAGACAAUUUGACUGCAAAGUCAAGAAAGUUAGAAGUGAUAAUGGACCAGAAUUCAUGUUGAAAGAGUUCUAUGAUGAAAAAAGGAAUAAUUCACCAAAGAAGUUGUGUGUAUACUCCACAACAAAAUGGGAGAGUGGAGAGAAGACACCAACACAUACUCAAUAUCAGUAGAGCCCUUAUGUUCCAGUCAAAAUUGCCUAAGAAGUUCUGGUCAUAUGCUGUAUUACAUGCAGUUUAUUUGAUUAAUAGAAUUCCCACUAAAAUUUUGAACAACAAAUCUUCUUAUGAAGUGUUGUAUGGUGAAGUACCAGAUUUGAGUAAUCUCAAAGUUUUUGGAUGCUUGAGUUAUGCAUCCACCUUACCAGUUAACAGACACAAAUUUGAUUCAAGAGCUAAGAAAUGUGCUUUCUUAGGAUACAAGUCAGGUAUCAAAGGUUUUGUCCUUGUGAAUGUCCAUACUUCUGAAAUAGUUGUUUCCAGGAAUGUGAAAUUUUUUGAUCUGGAAUUUCCUUUCCAUUCCUCUAGUGUUACUACAGUUCCCUCUACACAUAUUUACCUUGAUAGUCAAGUUACUAACAUUGUGCCUGUUAAUGACAUUAUUGUGAAUUCUUCUGAAGAUCAUGAUGAGGUUCCUCAUGAAGAUUCACUUAUUGAUACUGAAGAAAGGGAUGAUGAAGUGGAGCCUGUAGCCACCAGAAAAUCCUCCAGAAGUUCUCAAUCACCAGUUUACUUACAAAAUUAUGUCUGUAAUUCAACAAGUGGUCAUUACCCUAUGACAAAUUUUGUUAGUUAUUCAGCUUUAUCUCCUAAACACCGUACUUAUGCUUACUCUUUGAAUACUGAGAUUGAGCCCACUAGUUAUCUUUCAGCUAGUAAAGAUUCUAGGUGGUUAACUGCUAUGCAGACAGAGAUAGAGGCUCUUAAUGCAAAUAAUACUUGGGAAUUUGUUGAUCUUCCUUCAGAUGCUGUAUCCAUAGGUAGUAAAUGGGUAUAUAAGAUCAAAAGACAUGCAGAUGGUACCAUAGAACGUUUCAAAGCACGUUUGGUUGCUCAAGGUUUUAAUCAAACUGAAGGGCUUGAUUAUUUUGAAACAUUCUCCCCUGUUGCCAAGUUAUCCACCAUUAGGGUAUUGCUUGCUCUUGCAUCUAUUCAUGGUUGGUAUUUGCAUCAACUUGAUGUCAAUAACGCCUUCUUGCAUGGAGAUUUACAUGAAGCAGUAUAUAUGAAAGUCCCUCAAGGUGUUACUCCUCCCAAACCUGGACAAGUUUGCAAGCUCCAGAAAUCCCUUUAUGGUCUUAAGCAAGCAAGUAGGCAAUGGUUUGAGAAGCUUACUCAGUUUCUUUAUGCUCAGGGAUUCACUCAAGCUAAUGCAGAUCACACAUUAUUUACUAAAAUCACUGCUACUUCCUACACUGUGGUUUUGGUUUAUGUGGAUGACAUUAUUUUAGCAGGAACAUGUCUGCAGGCGUUUGAUUCAUUGAAACAAGCUCUUAACAAUGCUUUUCGCAUCAAGAAUUUAGGGGAACUUAAAUUCUUCUUAGGAUUGGAAGUAGCACGUUCCUCAAAAGGCAUUUCUCUCUGUCAACGCAAAUACUGUCUGGAGCUUCUUGAUGAUGCUGGCUUGACUGGUUGCAAACCAGUUUCUACUCCUCUUGAUCCUUCUAUACGUUUAUCUCAAGAUACUGGGUCUCUUCAUGGUGAUGUCACUGGUUAUAGACGUUUAGUUGGAAGACUGCUAUAUCUCACCACCACACGCCCUGAUAUAGCUUUUGCAGCACAACAAUUGAGUCAAUUCAUGGCUUCUCCAACUGAAUUGCAUUACAAAGCAGCUCUUAGAGUUUUGAGAUAUUUAAAGCGCUCUCCUGGACGUGGUUUAUUUUUCUCUAAAUCCUCUGAGCUUCAAUUGCUUGGUUUCAGUGAUGCAGACUGGGGAGGGUGUGUAGACACUCGUCGUUCCAUUUCAGGGUAUUGUUUCUUCAUUGGCCAGUCUUUGGUUUCCUGGAAAUCAAAGAAGCAACCAACUGUUUCAUGUUCCUCUGCUGAAGCAGAAUACAGGGCUUUAGCUUCGGCUACUAGAGAGCUUCAAUGGUUGUGUUUCAUUCUUCAUGAUUUGAAGCAAGCUCCUUCACGUUUACCUGUACUCUACUGUGAUAACCAGAGUGCACUUCACAUAUCAGCUAAUCCAGUGUUUCAUGAACGCACCAAGCACUUAGACAUUGAUUGUCAUCUAGUACGUGAAAAGAUUCAAGCUGGAGUUAUGCGUUUGUUACCAGUCACCUCCCAACAUCAAACAGCUGACAUGUUUACCAAGGCUUCUGGUCCACGACAAUUUCAUGCAUGCAUGCUCAAACUAGGGAUGGUAGAUAUCUACCAACCACCAGUUUGCGAGGGGGUAUCAACAUAUGAAGAAAAAGAGCAAGUUAACUAAUUAGAAGUAUUUGCAUUUGCAUUUCAUUUCUAACUGUAAUUUCAUUUGCAUCUAGUUAGUUAGAAUAGUGAUGAGCUGGCACUAAUGUGUAUAUAACUGAAUGUAAUGAACCUUUACAAGUCAAUGAAAAUCAGUUACAAGUUUUCUUCAUUUGAAGCUUUUUCUCUCUUAACCAUGGUGGUUUAUUCUUCUCUGAGUUUCUGCUGUGUUGUGAUCCUCUCCCUAUGCAGUACUCAGUUGCAUUGCUCAUCUAAAAGUGAUAGGGAAAACUAAGAUAUAAAAGUUGAAUGAACAGAGGUACAGACCCACGUUGGUGUUUGUAUUUUACUUGUUGCACCUUACCCUAGUAAAAAAAUCGGUGUGAUGUCUCUUGUUCCCUAUCUCACUGUCUAGGUCACUCCUCCCCGAUAAUAAUGAAGGUGAUGACAGACCAUCUUACGUUACUCUUAGCAUGUUUUUCAGUUAUUUUCAGUAUGUUUUAACAACAAAAAGGAGGAGUAUUAGAACAAUUGCCUAUAAUUUUGGGAGUUUUGUAAUGUUUUCUAUAUUUGAGUAUGUAAUUAUAGUUUUCUUGAAACAUAGUGUAACGCCCUAUUUCUAUUAAAGCGAUAAAACCCGCGAAUAAUAUAAAUAUUCAAGAAAUAAACGCUACGUCAUCAAAAAAAAUCCAAAACAACAUGCAUGUAUAAAAUUCUCAAUAGUCGCAGCGGAUAUAAACCAUAUACAUCAAGCAUACAUGUCAUGAUAACAAAAUACAAUAUCAUAAAAGUUCUCAAAGUCUCGACAAAUGGGUAAAUCUCCAAACAUGAAUAAAAUCCAAACAGAUAAUCUAGAGUAAUCAUAAACAGACACCUAGAUCAGAGCUUAUCCUAGACUCUAAGACACGAUAACGGAGAUAGCUACCGCUAUCCAAGCAACCACCGAGCAACUCACCAACGCAACUAAACCUGCACAACGUCUACCCAUCCAUACAGAUAGGUAGGCGGUCAAAACCACUUGGGAUAAGCUUUACAUCAAUCAUAAUCCACAUAAACAUUUAGACAUAAAUAAAUCAAUUCAAGUAAUCAUAUAAUUAAUCAAGAGUAAUUAAUUCCCAUAUACACAUUCAUACCAUAAUUUCAAAGUCUCAUAAUAUGUAUUCAUCAAACACACUUAUCACCAACAAUCAUCAUUCACAUGUCACAAAUAAGACUCAUGUCAACAUGAUAUGCACCUAGUUCGACACAUAUAUGCAUGUAGUACCAAAUCACCGCAAGGUCGUCACCUUCGAUGCAACAAAAACAUCGAUCGUAUGUAAGAUUUCACAUCCGUCUUACAUAAUCACCGAAGUAAAAGAGCACCCCUCUUUUACAGCUACAAGACUCAACAUGACUAUUAUGCAAGGACAUACAAGCAAAGACUCGACAAGGCAAAACCACCUCAUAAUCUUCACAACGAUAUAAAGGAUAACUUCCAAAUAUAUUGAUUAUCUCCACAACAAUUGAAUUAUCAAGUAUUUACGUCCACACAACAUUCAAGUCAUAAUUCAAAUAAGAGUCAUCAUCACAUUAUCACCAUAUUCAUCAAUAAUCAUCAACAUCAUUCAACAUCAACUACAUCAUAUAGUUUCACCACUCCAAAUAUUUCUCAUAUUCAAAGUAAAGAGAAAAUACAACAACUUAUGAUAAAUAUCAUAUCCAACAUAUAACAAUUCAUUCAAACAUCUUCAUUUAGUCAUAUAAGUUUAGUCACGAAAGAUCAUAAGAUAAUUGGCUUAAGAGAACCAUUCCCGAUAAAAUCUAUAUCAAGUGGCAAACGGCCAACAUUAAUAAUUCCCAAAACAAGGUAACAUAUUCAAGGUUGAAAAUUCACAAAAUAAUCUUAAACAAUCAUGUAAUCAAGAGCUUAAGCCACUUACAAACUAUUAGACAUUAGUUCAAAUUAUAGCUUAAGUUCGUAUGAGAAAACCCAAGUUCACAUUUUCCACAUUCCCACCCAAAAAUCAAGUUUGACAUGAUUAAGACAUUAAGCCAACUUUACAAGUCUUGCCUAAGUCUAUAUGAAUUGUAGGUUAAACUUGUAAUCUCAUUUAGUUCAAAAAAGUUCAUUUCGAGAAAAAUUCGAAAUUGCAAAAAAUAUUCAAGUUUUAACCCAAAAUGGAAAAUCCCAAAUUUGAAUGAGUAAAACAUGUUCCAGUAGAAUUAGGAGUUCAAACAGAGGUUAAACAAGUUGAAAGAAGUAUUUUACAAAGCUCGAAUUGGCCCCCUAAGACCCGGAAUGAAAAUCAAAGGUUGCUGAAACUGGGCACGUUUGCUUAAGCGACCACCUUGUUCGCUUAAGCGAACAAGUUCCAGAAGCUACGACAAAAGUUCACUUGUUGUUCGCUUACUCGUUCGCUUAGCGUUCGCAUAAGCGAACAGUCAUAAUUCAGCAGAUAAAUAUUACAGGUUUCAACCAUUUUUCACCUAAAAUUCUCAAUUUUGAUCUGCCAAUGCCCAAAUAUGUUUCAAAAGUUUGUUUACAUGUCAAAACAGCUAAAAGGGUUCCCAAGAACACAUCAAUUAUGAAAACAAUUGCCAUUUGAACAUAAUUCACCAAAUCAACCUAUUUUUACAAAACCAACAGCAACAACUUAUUUUUCAUCAUCAAGUCAUGAUAUAUGAACACCCAACAACAUCAAUUAAGCAUUAUUCCCAUCAUAAUUCAACAACAACAUAGCACAAUUCAACAAUUUGAGCACAAUUCACAAUAUAACAUUUUCACAUACUAUGAACAUGAAAUUUCACCAACAACAAUUCAAUUAUCACCAAUUUCUUGCAUUUAAACAUAUCAUCAUAAUUAAUGCACGAAUUUCAACAACUAUGAACAAUAAUCAAUUAUUCAACUAAGCACUUAAACAUGCAAUUAAUGAAAAAUUACAACUAAUUGAUUAUGAUUGAAUUCUAAUUCCCUUACCUUAAAUAGCACAAAUCCUAGUCCAAGCUUCAAUUUAGCUCCUAGAAUCACCACCACCUCUUAGGUCUUCAAGUCUCUCCUCUUCUAACCCUUUUCCCCUUCUCUUGCACCUUCUCUCUCUACCUCUCUCUAAAAAUCUUGUGAAAUGAAAAAUGAAUGUUAUUUCUCUUAAGACAAGGUUUAUAUAGGCUAUUCUCAAAUCG